This 451-nucleotide ribosomal RNA is filed under the name uncultured bacterium. RNAcentral describes it as "bacterial SSU rRNA". It matches the Rfam family "Bacterial small subunit ribosomal RNA", at positions 340 to 784 of the family's 1533-position model. The record is from RNAcentral.
UACGGAAGGCAGCAGGGGGAAUAUUGCACAAUGGGCGCAAGCCUGAUGCAGCCAUGCCGCGUGUAUGAAGAAGGCCUUCGGGUUGUAAAGUACUUUCAGUCGUGAGGAAGGUGUUAAGGUUAAUAACCUUAGCAAUUGACGUUAGCGACAGAAGAAGCACCGGCUAACUCCGUGCCAGCAGCCGCGGUAAUACGGAGGGUGCGAGCGUUAAUCGGAAUUACUGGGCGUAAAGGGCACGCAGGCGGUUAAUUAAGUUGGAUGUGAAAUCCCCGGGCUUAACCUGGGAAUGGCAUUCAAGACUGGUUAGCUAGAGUCUUGUAGAGGGGGUAGAAUUCCAUGUGUAGCGGUGAAAUGCGUAGAGAUGUGGAGGAAUACCGGUGGCGAAGGCGGCCCCUGGACAAAGACUGACGCUCAUGUGCGAAAGCGUGGGGAGCAAACAGGGAUUUAGAUA